CAGUCGCCGCGGUAAUACGAGGGGGGCAAGCGUUGUUCGGAAUUAUUGGGCGCAAAGGGUGCGUAGGCGGUUUGACAAGUCUUAUGUGAAAUCUAUGGGCUCAACCCAUAGUCUGCAUAGGAAACUGUCAGGCUUGAGAGUGGGAGAGGUGAGUGGAAUUUCCGGUGUAGCGGUGAAAUGCGUAGAUAUCGGAAGGAACACCUGUGGCGAAAGCGGCUCACUGGACCAUUUCUGACGCUGAUGCACGAAAGCUAGGGGAGCAAACAGGAUUAGAUACCCCUGUAGUCCCUGUCUCUUAUAA
This 301-nucleotide ribosomal RNA is filed under the name uncultured bacterium. RNAcentral describes it as "partial 16S ribosomal RNA". It matches the Rfam family "Bacterial small subunit ribosomal RNA", at positions 509 to 809 of the family's 1533-position model. The record is from RNAcentral.